GAUGAACGCCGGCGGUGUGCCUAAUACAUGCAAGUCGAACGCGUUGGCCCAAUUGAUUGAUGGUGCUUGCACCUGAUAGAUUUUGGUCGCCAACGAGUGGCGGACGGGUGAGUAACACGUAGGUAACCUGCCCAGAAGCGGGGGACAACAUUUGGAAACAGAUGCUAAUACCGCAUAACAACGUUGUUCGCAUGAACAACGCUUAAAAGAUGGCUUCUCGCUAUCACUUCUGGAUGGACCUGCGGUGCAUUAGCUUGUUGGUGGGGUAAUGGCCUACCAAGGCGAUGAUGCAUAGCCGAGUUGAGAGACUGAUCGGCCACAAUGGGACUGAGACACGGCCCAUACUCCUACGGGAGGCAGCAGUAGGGAAUCUUCCACAAUGGGCGCAAGCCUGAUGGAGCAACACCGCGUGAGUGAAGAAGGGUUUCGGCUCGUAAAGCUCUGUUGUUAAAGAAGAACACGUAUGAGAGUAACUGUUCAUACGUGACGGAUUAACCAGAAAGCACGCA
This 509-nucleotide ribosomal RNA is filed under the name Limosilactobacillus fermentum. RNAcentral describes it as "bacterial SSU rRNA". It matches the Rfam family "Bacterial small subunit ribosomal RNA", at positions 28 to 496 of the family's 1533-position model. The record is from RNAcentral. Lineage: Bacteria; Bacillati; Bacillota; Bacilli; Lactobacillales; Lactobacillaceae.